Molecule: ribosomal RNA, 503 nt
Filed under: uncultured archaeon
Lineage: Archaea
Description: bacterial SSU rRNA
Rfam family: Bacterial small subunit ribosomal RNA
Source: RNAcentral
ACCGCGGCGGCUGGCUUAACACAUGCAAGUCGCACGAGAACGCCCGGGCUUUGCCGGGGCAAGUACAGUGGCGGACGGGUGCGUAACGCGUAGAUAACCUGCCCUCAGGCGCGGGACAAUCGCGGGAAACCGCGGCUAAUACCGCACGACGUCCAGGCCCCGCAUGGGGGCUGGAUGAAACCUUGGUUUUGCCAAGGGCCUUUGGAUGGGUCUGCGUCGGAUUAGCUUGUUGGUGAGGUAACGGCUCACCAAGGUAACGAUCCGUAGCUGGUCUGAGAGGACGAUCAGUCACACUGGGACUGAGACACGGCCCAGACUCCUACGGGAGGCAGCAGUGGGGAAUCUUGCACAAUGGGGUCACCCCUGAUGCAGCCAUGCCGCGUGGAGGAAGACACCCCUAUGGGGCGUAAACUCCUUUUCUGAGAGAAGAACCCCCUGUAGGUUCAGGGUGUGACGGUAUCUCAGGAAUAAGCACCGGCUAACUCCGUGCCAGCAGCCGCGGU